GAUGAACGCUGGCGGCGUGCCUAAUACAUGCAAGUCGAGCGAACGGACGAGAAGCUUGCUUUUCUGAUGUUAGCGGCGGACGGGUGAGUAACACGUGGAUAACCUACCUAUAAGACUGGGAUAACUUCGGGAAACCGGAGCUAAUACCGGAUAAUAUUUUGAACCGCAUGGUUCAAAAGUGAAAGACGGUCUUGCUGUCACUUAUAGAUGGAUCCGCGCUGCAUUAGCUAGUUGGUAAGGUAACGGCUUACCAAGGCAACGAUGCAUAGCCGACCUGAGAGGGUGAUCGGCCACACUGGAACUGAGCCACGGUCAAGACUACUACGGGAGGCAGCAGUAGGGAAUCUUCCGCAAUGGGCGAAAGCCUGACGGAGCAACGCCGCGUGAGUGAUGAAGGUCUUCGGAUCGUAAAACUCUGUUAUUAGGGAAGAACAUAUGUGUAAGUAACUGUGCACAUCUUGACGGUACCUAAUCAGAAAGCCACGGCUAACUACGUG
This 497-nucleotide ribosomal RNA is filed under the name uncultured bacterium. RNAcentral describes it as "partial 16S ribosomal RNA". It matches the Rfam family "Bacterial small subunit ribosomal RNA", at positions 28 to 507 of the family's 1533-position model. The record is from RNAcentral.